UCCGUACGUGAUUCAGGGAUCCUCAAUGAAAGUGGGCUUAAGCAGUGUUUUGACGCUGGUAUAAUCCCACGUGGAUGCUCACUGCUAGGAGACCAUGGGUAUCCCUGUAAACUUUGGCUGCUGACACCUUAUCUUAAUCCCCAGCCAGGACCACAAGCAAAUUACAAUAUAGCACACUCAAAGACCAGGAAUGUUGUGGAGAGGGGAAUUGACCAGCUGAAACGAAGAUUUCCAGUUCUCCACACUGAAAUAAGGGUCAGUCCACCCCUGAAGGUGUGCCAGAUUGUCUAUGUAUGUGCAGUGCUGCACAACAUUUGCAAGAGGUGCAAUGUUCCUCUUGAUGAUGAGCAUCUGGAUAAUCAAAAUGCUGCCCCAGAUCAUGAUGUUGGGGCAAUAGCACCAGCAGCUUGGGGACAAGACAAUGGACGAACCUUCAGGGACCACUUUGCUGCAACUCACUUCAGACUGCAGUAAUGUUCAAAAGACAUUGAAGACAGAGCUUCCAGGUCGUCCCAGAACACUGAUGCUUGGGCUCUUCUAGCGUUGCUCUCCCGGCAGCAACAAGGCCAGCACCAUGGGACUUCUCGGGUGAUGGCCCCAACACAAUGCAGGUUUCGUUAGGGCUGUAACAGAAAGAGAUGAAAAUGUCGAGUGUCUUAUUAUGGCUAUCUGUGAUGUGUUAGUUAAUAGAUUCUGCACCUUUCUAAUCACAAAUUUUGCUAGUCCCUCUAACCACUAUUUGGUACUUGUCUGAAUGUAAGGAAAAACUCUGACCCUACACUGAGUGCUGGAAAUCUCGCAUGCCUGCAAUGCUCAUCGAUUGAAAGAUGCCCACUUUUCCUUAUUCUUACUCUAGCUUUCUUAUUUGCACCCCUCACUCCACCUCCUCCUCCUUUUCUUCACCUUUGCCACUCUGCCACAUCAGUCCCAACUCAUCUCUCUCUUUGUCUCAUGUCAUUCAUUAACUUAUGAAUGCAUUUCAGAAUAUCUGUAUAGAUUUAAUUCUCUUAAGAUGAUAAUAGUGGUAUGCAUACUACAACACACAACAAUGAAGAUCUACAGUUGCACCCUUAAGAGGAGUUGCUUGAACAGCCAUAACCACCAACGUUAGCAGAAUGACAUA
Molecule: long non-coding RNA, 1123 nt
Organism: Eriocheir sinensis (Chinese mitten crab)
Lineage: Eukaryota; Metazoa; Arthropoda; Malacostraca; Decapoda; Varunidae
Exons: 3
Source: RefSeq, a predicted model, not a curated record